Long non-coding RNA from Phascolarctos cinereus (koala), 1901 nucleotides. RefSeq lists it as uncharacterized. The record is from RefSeq and is a predicted model, not a curated record. NCBI's taxonomy places the organism in Eukaryota, Metazoa, Chordata, Mammalia, Diprotodontia, Phascolarctidae.
AUUAGGGCCCUACCUCCCAAUGGUCCUCUGGUCUAAACUCUCCCAAAUAGGCUCUGUGUUUCUGCGUCCAUAGAAUCAGCCACACAACUCAAGGGCCAAAGGAGGGAAGAGAGCAACGGGGAUGCUAACAACCACUGGCUCCUCCCUCCAUUCUCCCCCCCCCCCACUAACUCUUAGACAGGCCUAUUCGGGGCCCAAGAGGAGACAGGAAGAAGGGCCAUGGGGGGGGGCAGUCGGGAACGGGGUUGGCACAGCUGAGUCAGAGAUUAGCAAAUCCCUCCCACAGCCCAUUGAGCCAGGCAGGAAAAGUUCCUUGGGACAAGCAUUCUCUGUUUUGUCCUUCCCCUCCAAAUUCAGCCAUGGGAUCUGAGGCAAGACCUCUCUCUAACUCCUUCCUGACAAAACGCUGAGGGUUCCAGAUCCCACUCAGAAGACAUGGCUGGCGCAGGGGACACUGGUCUAUCACCCUAUGAAGCAAAGUCGGAAAUACUGUUUGGAUUCCGGAUGAGGAUGAGGAUUCACCUCAAUGACCCCAGCAUACCACUGACCCUGGGCUUGACUAACAGGCAAGCCAGGGCCUGGACAGCUGCCCUGCCCUGCCUCAUCUUCCACACAGGCCACCAGCCCGGGAGAAAAGACCCAUGGACUGAUCAUCAAAUCAACAUUAUUUUUGCUACUGUCAAGUUUGUGACGAUCUGCUGGCCUGUGACUUCUCUCCAAAUCCCUGUGACUCUGGGUCAAAGGCUACCUUCUCUGGCCUCCAUUUCCUGUCCACCAUCAGCCCCAAGCCUCCCUUGUCCCUAUCCCCCCCCCCCGCCCUUCAUGUUUGACCUGUGUCCCUCCAUUUCUUUGAGUUUCCUUAUGUGUGUACACAUUGUUCUUCCUCUCCCCCCCCCAUAAAAUGUAAUUUCGUCACUGUAUCUCCAGCAAAGUGCCUGGCACACAGCAGGUACUUAAUGAUUACAUUAAGCACCUACUAUAUGCCAGGCAUUUUGCUUUGUUGAACAGAUUCAUUUAAUCAUCAAAUAUUUAUUAAGCCCCUACUACAUAUCAUCCAUAGUUGAUGACAGUCCAUUAGAUUGGAAGCUCCCUGAGGCCAGGGACUGUCUUUUGCCUCUUUGUAUCCCCAGAACACAGUAUCCCUGGCACAUAGUAGGUACUUAAUAAAUGUUUAUUGAUGGAUUGAUUUAUAUUUGAUAUUAUGCUAGGCAGUAGAGAUAAAAAGGGAAAGGAAGCACAGAUCCUGGGGACAGAGCUAACAAGAGGGUCAGCUGUCUGAGCCUGUGGCUAAAAGGAACCUUGGGGACACAGCAGGCACUGACGGGGACAGAGGAGCCCAUAUAAGACAGGAGGGUCCAGCCUCUGCCUCGGGCCCCAAAGAGCAGUAAUAUCAGGUAGCACUUGCAGUUCCCUGACCAUCACCCACCACUUCGAAUAUUUACUUUUUCAUUCAUUCAUUCAUUCAUUCAUUCAUUCAUUCAUUCAUUCAUUCAUUCAUUCUGAAACAACACAAGUUCCAUGCAUUGGGUAUGGGUGGGAGUCAAGGGAUUUGGAAGAGAAGGGGGCCCUGUGACCAGUGCCACUGUGGGCAAUGUGGCUUUCCCUCAAGGGCAGUGGGGCAUGUGCCAGGCUUGCUGCCUGGCACAGAAGCCAUGAUACCCUCCUGCUUCUACACUCUGUCUCCCAAUUCCUUGCCUCCUUAAAAGCUCAGCUCAAGGGCCCUCUCCCUCCAUGAGGCCCUCCCUGAUCUCUGCAGCUGCUAGGCCCUCCUGCCUCCAAAUCAUCUUGUGUAUCUACUCAGUUGUUUGCUCCCAUGUUGGAAUGUCAAUUCCUUGAGAACGAGGUCCAUUACAUUCUUGUCUCUAUCUCUGCACCACCUAACCCAGCGCCUGGCACACAGG